Setaria italica (foxtail millet) is the source of this 2230-nucleotide RNA transcript. It is a transcript of the gene named hexuronate transporter, with no coding region annotated. The transcript is spliced from 4 exons. Lineage: Eukaryota; Viridiplantae; Streptophyta; Magnoliopsida; Poales; Poaceae. The record is from RefSeq and is a predicted model, not a curated record.
GCAGACGACGACGAUGCCAAACGCCACUGCUCCCAACGUUUCCACUUCGAACAUUUCCACGAAAAUCUCGCCGCUCUCGCGAAGGAGGAGGACACCACCGGUCUUGCUUGCUCCCCAGUCCCCAUCCAGGAGCGUUUCGCUGACCAGGCCGCCGCCGCGGUGCGCGAGCCGGGCGCCGGGCGGCAGCCAUGGACGCGGCGGCAGCGGGGAGGCGGACGCUGGCGCUGGUGAACCUGGCUGCCAUCAUGGAGCGGGCCGACGAGGCGCUGCUGCCGGCGGUGUACCGGGAGGUGGGAGCGGCGCUGCACGCCACGCCCAUGGGGCUCGGCGCGCUCACGCUCUACCGUUCCGCCGUGCAGGCCGCCUGCUACCCGCUCGCCGCCUACGCCGCCGUGCGCUACAACCGCGCCCACGUCGUCGCCGUGGGGGCCGUACUCUGGGCCGCCGCCACCUUCCUCGUCGCCGUCUCCGGCACCUUCGCCCAGGUAGCAGUAGCUAGAGGUUUGAAUGGUAUUGGCCUAGCGCUUGUCACCCCUGCAAUCCAGUCUCUAGUGGCAGAUUGCUCUGAUGACAAUACCCGUGGCGCCGCAUUUGGAUGGCUUCAGCUCACAGGCAACAUAGGUUCAAUCAUUGGAGGUUUGUUUUCCCUGAUGCUAGCAUCAACCACAAUCAUGGGUAUUGCGGGUUGGCGCGUUGCAUUUCACAUCGUUGGCCUCAUCAGUGUUGUAGUCGGUGCACUGGUGGGUCUAUUUGCAGUGGAUCCCCAUUUCCUCAAUUGUGGAAAUGGCGAGCGACUCUUGCGCAAGUCUGCUUGGGAAGAGAUGAAGGAUUUAGUGAGAGAAGCCAAAGCUGUUGUCCAAAUCCCCUCAUUUCAGAUCAUUGUGGCUCAGGGCGUCACAGGUUCAUUUCCAUGGUCUGCACUAUCCUUUGCCCCAAUGUGGUUGGAGCUAAUGGGCUUUACACACAACAAAACUGGACUUCUCAUGACAACAUUUGCAUUGGCAAGCUCACUUGGAGGGCUAUUAGGUGGAAAGAUGGGGGAUCACUUUGCUGUUCGCUUCCCGGAUUCUGGCCGAAUAGUCCUGUCACAGAUAAGCUCGGCUUCUGCUAUUCCAUUGGCUGCACUAUUGCUGUUAGGGCUACCCGAUGACUCCUCUUAUGGUUUCUUGCAUGGACUUGUCAUGUUUAUUAUGGGCCUGAGCAUCUCCUGGAAUGGUCCUGCUACAAACAACCCCAUAUUCGCAGAGAUCGUUCCUGAGAGAUCAAGGACUAGCAUAUACGCAUUGGACCGUUCUUUCGAGUCAGUCUUAGCCUCAUUCGCUCCACCAGUUGUCGGUUUCUUAGCCGAGCAUGUCUAUGGUUACAACCCCAUCUCCUAUGGAGCUGGGGCUAGCAGUGUUGGCAGGGACAAGUCAAACGCUGGUGCCCUAGCCAAAGCUCUCUACACGGCAAUCGCCAUUCCUAUGCUGCUCUGCUGCUUCAUCUACUCCCUGUUGUACCGGACAUACCCACGAGACAGGGAGAGAGCAAGAAUGGACAGUCUGAUUGCAUCGGAGCUGCAGCAGAUUGAGCUGGAAAGAUGUCAUGGAGUAGUAGAUUGUUAUGCUGGAAGUAAGGAUGGCGCCACUGUGAUCGAUAUGGAGUACAGCGAGGAAGAUUUUGAUCCAGAUGACGAUGAGAAAGCGUUGAUGGAUCAGCAGGCUGAGCAGUGAGCAGAGUGGCAGUGUCAGGUGACCAAGGAGUAAUUUGGCGAAGAAAGCUCCACAUAAUUUACUAGAGCUCUGCGAAAUUGACUUUGGGAUUGUAUAGGAAACACGGAGUAUAGUAUGAGCCAACUCCUAACAAUGAUUGGGAGGCAAUUAUUGUAUUUGGGGGUUGCUAGCGUAGAGUUUCAAUCGGUUGGUUCAAUUCGGUUUUUUGAAAGUACAAAGCAUUAAACCUUCCAGCUGUGUUUAUGCAGUGAGUAUUUUCUUUUCCAGGCUUGCGCAGGAGAAUACAUGGAUAGUUUGAACUUGACGAAGCUGGGUUGAAGAGUUGCGCAGGACGAUGCACUUUCCUUCAGGAAGAAGAUUGUGCACUAUAACUUGAACUGAAGUGAGUUGCACGCAACAGUUUCUUGUGCGCGCGCGCGUGUGGGGAUGCAGGCAACAGUUUCUCCCAGGUGGAAGUUAUGAGUGGAUUAACAUUAUAUCCACAAAUUAUUACAGAGAAAUUCAAUCCGUGUGCAACU